GUCCAGAGGGUAGACCUCUCCUCCGAGGCCACAGAAACCAGAUGACGGGGAGUGUUUUCCUCAGAAGAACCACCGAGCACCCACGGGGAGGAAGGGGCGAGGCUCAGCGCCGCCUGCUCGCAGGGAAACCCUUAACCUGGUCUGGAAAGGAGGAGAGAGCCACAGUUCAUUUCUGAGUGAAAAAUAAGCCCGCGCUCAUGGAGUAACGCCCUCUCCCACGUGGCCUUUUAGAUUCCACACCCGAGACUCCCCAGGUGCUGUGGGGGCGUUAGGUGUCACUCCUCCAGGCCUCCUCACGGCUGGAGACAAUGAAAGUGAGGGAUUGGCGCCGCCGAUCUCCCUUCUCCAGCAGCACAAAGGG
Long non-coding RNA from Eptesicus fuscus (big brown bat), 361 nucleotides. RefSeq lists it as uncharacterized. The record is from RefSeq and is a predicted model, not a curated record. NCBI's taxonomy places the organism in Eukaryota, Metazoa, Chordata, Mammalia, Chiroptera, Vespertilionidae. The transcript is spliced from 3 exons.